Non-coding RNA from Perognathus longimembris pacificus (Pacific pocket mouse), 594 nucleotides. NCBI's taxonomy places the organism in Eukaryota, Metazoa, Chordata, Mammalia, Rodentia, Heteromyidae. The record is from the annotation of a RefSeq genome assembly.
CUUUCUGCUAAAGAAGAUCCUGAGCUACUGCCUGCCUGGCCUGGCCUGUCUGGCCCGACCAUGGGCUGCAGGCUCCUCUGCUGUGUGUCCCUCUGCCUUCUGGGAGCAGGCUCCUUGGACACAGCUGUUUCCCAGACUCCAAAAUAUCUUGUUACACGGGUGGGGAACAAAAAGUCACUUCAAUGCAACCAGAAUCUGGGCCACAAUGCUAUGUACUGGUACAAGCAAGACUCCACGCGACAGCUGAAGAUCAUGUUUACUUACUAUAACCAGGAACUCUCAAUAAAUGAAACAGUCCCAAGCCGCUUCUCACCUGAAUCUCCUGACAAAGCUCAUUUAAACCUUCAUGUCAACUUCCCAGAACCAGAGGAUUCUGCCACGUAUCUCUGUGCCAGCAGCCAAGACACAGCCUUACAGAGUCCCUGCCUCCCCGCGCACAAACCUCCCGGCCAGCCAGGAAGCUGUGGUGGCUUUGUGUUCAUCUGUGUCGGUGUCUCCCUUCCCCAGUCCUGUCAGGACCAGAAUGGAUACUCCAUCUAUGGCCCUGCCUUCCUAUUCCCCAAAGGGAGAAGUUCUUUGUUAAUGUACACAUAG